Molecule: non-coding RNA, 19 nt
Filed under: Arabidopsis thaliana (thale cress)
Lineage: Eukaryota; Viridiplantae; Streptophyta; Magnoliopsida; Brassicales; Brassicaceae
Source: RNAcentral
GUCGCUGCCGUGAUCGUGG